RNAcentral lists this ribosomal RNA (820 nucleotides) under uncultured bacterium. RNAcentral describes it as "bacterial SSU rRNA". It matches the Rfam family "Bacterial small subunit ribosomal RNA", at positions 91 to 888 of the family's 1533-position model. The record is from RNAcentral.
GAAAGUGGCGCACGGGUGAGUAACGCGUAGAUAAUCUGCCUGAUGAUCGGGGAUAACACUUCGAAAGGGGUGCUAAUACCGGAUAAGCUCACGGAGUCCUUGGACUCUGCGAGAAAAGGGGGGGACCUUCGGGCCUUCUGUCAUCAGAUGAGUCUGCGUACCAUUAGCUAGUUGGUAGGGUAAAGGCCUACCAAGGCGACGAUGGUUAGCUGGUCUGAGAGGAUGAUCAGCCACACUGGAACUGAGACACGGUCCAGACUCCUACGGGAGGCAGCAGUGGGGAAUUUUGCGCAAUGGGGGAAACCCUGACGCAGCAACGCCGCGUGAGUGAUGAAGGCUCUUGGGUCGUAAAGCUCUGACAGAGGGAAAGAAAUGUAUUGCGGCUAAUACCUGCGAUACUUGACGGUACCCUCAAAGGAAGCACCGGCUAACUCCGUGCCAGCAGCCGCGGUAAUACGGGGGGUGCAAGCGUUGUUCGGAUUUAUUGGGCGUAAAGCGCGUGUAGGCGGUUUGGUAAGUCUGAUGUGAAAGCCCUGGGCUCAACCCGGGAAGUGCAUUGGAUACUGUCAGACUUGAAUACGGGAGAGGGCAGUGGAAUUCCUAGUGUAGGAGUGAAAUCCGUAGAUAUUAGGAGGAACACCGGUGGCGAAGGCGGCUGCCUGGACCGAUAUUGACGCUGAGACGCGAAAGCGUGGGUAGCAAACAGGAUUAGAUACCCUGGUAGUCCACGCCGUAAACGAUGAGAACUAGGUGUUGCGGGUAUUGACCCCUGCAGUGCCGUAGCUAACGCAUUAAGUUCUCCGCCUGGGAAGUACGGUCG